RNAcentral lists this long non-coding RNA (7110 nucleotides) under Malus domestica (apple). Its description in RNAcentral is "long non-coding RNA (MDOM_LNC015739)". The record is from RNAcentral. Lineage: Eukaryota; Viridiplantae; Streptophyta; Magnoliopsida; Rosales; Rosaceae.
CAGAAAUAAAAUAUGAGUUUGGAAGGAUUUAACCGAAAGAGAAGGGUGCUUGCUGCUUCUGUCUGUCUUCCUCCCCGAGGCUCACUGUCUUUCCCGCUCACCUCUGCCCUCACUUCUCGUCCCCGCAGUCCCGUGCUCCUUGCGCCACGUGCUGCAAGGCAGCUUCUCUCUCUCUCGCACCAGCUGCCAAAUGGCAGCUCUCAUCUUUCUUUUUUUAUAUAUUUUCUUUUUCUCCUUCUGCCGCAAGGCAGCUGUGCUGCCAGCCUUCUGUCCUCCCUUUAUUUUCUGCAGCUGUCCUCUCCUUGUUCUGCCAGUCAAGCUGCCAAAGGCAGCUUGUGACCUCACCUCAUGCUCAAGCUGCCCCGUUUCUUUUUUUAUCUUUCCUGCACGCUGCCUUCUGUUUCAUUCUUUCCCCUUUCUUCUAAUCCGUCCUCCUUGGAUCCUUUUAGCUGUCUCUCACUCAUCUCUCCACCGCUGCCCAAAAGCAGCUUUCUCCUUUAUUCUUCUUUUUUUUUAUUUCUGGCCUCACCUCCCCGUAGCUAAGUUGUCCUCCUCUUAUUUUCUGUUAUGCCACAAAACAUGAAUCAUGAUGAUGUUUCAAACAUCAUCAUGAUUUAUUAUUAUUAUUUCUUUUAUUAAUUUUAUGUAAAAGUUGAUUUACACAGACAGGUUUAACGAAUUUAUUACAUAAAAUUUCACUUGUUCUAUUUUUAUUUUCUUUGCAUAACAAAUCCUAUAAACACAAAAAUAACGUAAAUAGCUCAAAAAUAUAAGGAACUAACUAAGAAAAGACGAGUGAAUUCGAAGUAAAAAUAUAUAUAAUAUGAUCCGAUCAAAUACCCCCACACUUAACUUUUGCUAGUCCUCGAGCAAAACAAGGAAAACAUGAAAAAGUAAUAACAUGAAAAACAUUAGCUUCCCUCUAUGUGACCCUCAUAGAAUUUCAUUCAAGAAAACAAAUCAUCAAGAACCAUAGCUAGCACCAAACAAACUAAUCCAAGUUCAUCUUCCUAAUUCAAAUAUUAGCAGUAAUCUUUAAAUCAUCCUUGAAGUGUAGUGUGUGAGAUAGCCAUGCUAAUACAAUUUCAAAUUUUUUUUUUAUAUUUUUAAAAUCAUCAUAUGCAAACUAGCGACCUUCUCACGGGAUAUGCACUCAAUCACACAUGUGUUUAGUUUUAAUGUGUUUCGCUCAAAAAAAAUCAAAUGUGAAAUUUCUACCAUAAGCUUGCAUAAAGAUCACUUGUCCACAGUCAUAAUUGCAAAACUUAAAUCAAGAGGACUUUUAUUGGAUGUAAUGAGGUUUAGGGAUAGGGUUAUUGAAACGAUAGAAUAGGAAAACACAAGUUCCAAGCUACAUUGCAAGCAAUUCUUUUCUUUAGAUUUAUAAGAACUCAAGCUCUCCAACGAUUCUUCUUAAACCUCCAACCACACCCUUAAACUGAAAAUUAAACAACUUUAAAAACAUUUUUUUUUUUUUUUCUUUUCUUUUUUCUUUUCUUCGUAUACAAUCUUUCUUUUUCUUUUUUUUAUUUUUUUUUUAUACAAACAUGAAAUACCCCCACACUUAUUUUUUUGCCAAACACCUUCAAAGUACUUUACAAACAUUUCUCAUAAGACAAUCUCGCAUUGCUCGCUUGGAAAGGGUAAGGAAAAAAUGUUUCAGGUGUAAGGGUAGACAUAUCUGGUGAUAAGAAAUAAAAGGUUCAACAUACACGGCUCAAAUUGGCAAUCUAAUGAUAUCAUUUUUCUUUGGGAAACAUGGUUAUUUGGGCCAUGGUGGUAAACCUAAUGCCUCUAUCAUUUCCAAGUUCAUGCAAUCAAUGAUAAACAUUUCGAAAGAUCGUUACGCAAGUUCUAGAGAUAUAUCUCACAUAAGUUCAUCACACAUGAAAGAAUAGGAGUGUAUGAAAAAUGCACACACUUUCAAUAGGCUCAAAAACUCACAUGGGAUGUAUAUGGUCACUAAAUUCACAUAUGAAGCUUUAAGUCAUGCUUUAGUUUCACAUCAACAAGGCUAUGUGCAUUUGGUUUUUCAAAGAUGAUCAAACAUAUACAAAACUAACAAGAGAAUUAGGAACUUCAUAAAACAUAUGUUAACUAAGUUCUUGAUGAUCAUGAUUCAAAUUUGAUCUAAUUAUAUCAUUGGGUCGGGAAACUAACAAAAAAUCUAAUUCAAAACAAUAAGGGAAACAAGACAAUAUUUUUGGAUUUUUUAAAUUUUCCGAUUUUUUUUUUUUUUUUUUAUAGAGAAAACAAAACUAAAAAAAAUUAAAAAAUAAAAAGCAACAACACAGAAACAAAUGAAAUUCUAGAGAUUUCUACCCCCACACUUAAACUUGACAUUGUCCCCAAUGUCAGAAAACACUAUAAUGCAAAAAUAAAUAAAAUAAACAAAAUAAUAAAAAAAAACAAAAUAAAGCAAUUGGACUGAAAACUUCCCUAAUUUGCAGUAAAAUCAAGCGAUGACCCUCAAGCUAAAAUUCUGCAAUCAACUUCAAGGGUGGAAAUAACCAAAAGUUCCUGCAAAGAAAAGGAAAAAUUCAGUUAAGUACGCAAGAAAAUUAAUUAAAAAAAAUAUUGCAAACGAAAAAUUGAAAAUUACGAUAAAAGAUAAUGAAUAAAACUAAUAAAUAAUCAUUGGUCGUGCUUGUUGACUUUCCACAGCUUUCCUCUUGAACAGGGUGACACUUAGCUUUUUACUUGCAAGUGAUGAUUUGAUGAUAUUGUACGGCGAAGCUUUGCUCUUUGGUUAUGUUGCAGUUCCUUAUUUGUUCUCCAAGCAGAUGUGGCAGCUUCUCUAGUUCCUCAGUUCGGACUCCUUCCGCUGGGAUGAUUGUGCAAGCUGCAUUCUUCUCUGCUUGUUUCUUCUGCACAACGGGCAGGCACGAGGGAAAAGGUGUUGGUCCUUAUUUCUUUCUUCAAUCUUUCCAAGUGCCCACCUCUUGCUUUCUUUCUCCUUGUCCCUAGCUGAAUUGUCUCCACAUGCUUCGAGGUAUCAUUUUCACUUCCCUUACUGUCCCCCAGGCAGAUGUGGUAGACGAAGAGAAAGCAUAAAAUGAAGAAGAUGAGUACUCGAGAGCAAGGCUAGGUAAGCAAUCAGGAAAGGGUUCCAGGCAGUUGGCUCCAGAUUGGAAGAUUGAUACCAAAUGCUGGCUGAUUGCUCUCUUUCUCCUUGUCGGAAAACAAAGACAAGGAGAAGGACAUGGAGAAAGCAUGAUAUGAGAUACUCUUGCUUUCAACCUUUAUGAUAUGAAAUACUUUUGCUUUGAAUAGGUUGUUCGCAGGAGUAUCCCAAGGAAUGAGGAACACAGAGUGACUCGAGAGGAUUCUUUGGGAAUGCAUUUUCGGAGAUGAAGAGGUGCUGAGAGGGUGUGCUGAGAGAGUGUGCUUUUGCUGUGGAAGGCGAAGGUAGAAACUUAUAGGACUUGUCUUCACAACCGGAACUGUUCUCUCACUUAGUGUCGGCAGCCGGUGGAUGGGUGAAGAAUACAAAUUACGCGCUUUCUGACAAAGCUGCCCGUAAUUUCCGCAAAGCUGAUUCCUCAUUGAUAUCUGUAAUCGGCGCUUCGAGCUCUGAGCAUCGUCGAUUGUAGAGGUAGCAUGUGACACGUGCGGAUAAAUCUGGAAAAGAAGAUUUUCCCGUGGGUUGAAGCCCAGCUUUUUGAGAAAGCUAGCGUGUCUUUGACUGUUGAAUUUCCCUCUUCGAUUUCUGAAUUGGUGCUUCGACAAAUUGCCCGAGAUUUCCGCAAAGCAAAUUUGCGUGUGACAAGUGACGACACGUCUGGACAAAUUGAUCUUUUGAAAUCCGGGGUUCGGCUCGUGGUUUCUGAGCAAGCCCAGCCUUUAAGAAAUGAAACGCCUCUUUUGAGAAAAGAAUCCGGCUUUUUGAGAAAGGAAACUCCUCUUUUGAGAAAAGAAUCAGACGUUUGAGAACGGAGCCCCGACUCUUCGAUUUGCGAGAGGACGCUUCUCUGAGGAGCGCCUCUUUGAUUUCUUCCUUUUUAUAGAGACGUUAAGCUUGUUCCACAACACACUUGAGUACCCUCCCGUAAACACUCCCUUCUUGCACUUGUUUAAUCUUGAUCAUUCCGACUCUCUUCUGUCUUUACCACCUCUGAAAAAUGUCUGGCCCUUCUGAUCGUCGUUUUGACUUGAACAUUGGUGAAGAGGCAGCUUCGCCUUCACCAGACAACAUAUGGCGGCCAUCCUUCAUAUCCCCUACCGGUCCCCUUACCGUGGGGGAUUCGAUGAUGAAAAAUGACAUGACCGCUGCGGUGGUGGCCCGAAACCUUGUCACUCCCAGAGAUAACAGACUGCUCGCAAGGCGGUCUGAUGAAUUGGCAGUCAAGGAGUCUCUGGCUCUCAGUGUGCAGUGUGCGGGUUCCGUAUCCAACAUGGCCCAACGCCUAUAUGCCCGAACCCGUCACGUUGAAUCCUUGGUGGCUGAAAUACAGAGUCUCAAGCAAGAGAUUAAAGGGCUCAAGCAUGAGAAUAAGGAAUUGCACAAGCUCGCACACAGCUAUGCCACCAGCAUGAAGAGGAAGAUUGACCAGAUGCAGGACACCGAUGGUCAAAUUUUACUUGAUCAUCGGAGGUUUGUGGGUUUGUUCCAACCGCAUCUGCCUUCGUCUUCUGGGGCGGCACCGCGUAGUGAAGCUCCAACUGAUCAACCUCUGCCGCCUCCUCCUUCUGUGGCCCCGCCGACUGCUGAAGCCCCGCCUACUACUGAAGCACCACCCGACCAAUGAAUACUAUUAGUUUACAUCAUUGUAAAAUAUUUGUACUUUUUUUUUUUUUUUUUUUUUUUUUUUUUUUUUUUUUUUUUUUUUUUAUUUAAUUUUUUUUUUUUUUUUUUUUUUUUUUUUUCAUUAAUUUUAAAUUUUAUCUUUUUUUUUUUUUUUUUUUUGUAAAUUAAAGUAGAAAGACUUUGGUUAACCUUCCCCCACACUUAAACUAAAUAACACAAACUCACAGAAAUCAAACAAAUAACACAACUAACUAAACAAAACAAAAUGAAAGCAGUAAAGAUAAGGGUGUAAAAAUGCAAAUCUGAUUGGGUUAGCGAUUCCAAAGUCUCCCUUCGUUGAAUGCUUGGGUUGCCUCCCAAGAAGCGCUUGAUUUAACGUCUUUAGCCGGACGCAUCUUUCCUUUAAAUUUCCCUCAGCUCCAUUUGUGCCUAAAAUCAAAGAAAGAAAAAUAAAUCAAAUAUCAAAAGUAAAAUACACAAACACCAAUAUAAACAUAAACAAAAACAAAAAUAAAAGGAUUAGCAAAGUUACUAAUCCCCGGCAACGGCGCCAAAAUUUGAUGCGUAAAAUUACUUGACACACAAAUUAAACCCUCUUUUUGACAAUUGUAGUAUAGAUGUAAGUAGGGUAUCGUUCUAGGCCGGGGAUUAGGAGGGAUUGCUAAUCUAUUCUAAAUUAAUUUAAAAAUAUUAAAUAAGACUCAAGGACACAAAAUUAGGCUAAAAACUCUAAUAACUCGAAACACACUUAAAAUGACUCAAAAUAAUGAAAACAAUUAAAUUAAACACUAGGAACUGAAAUGGACGGAAAUUAAAUUAAAAGACUAACAAUAAAGAAAACUAACUAAAUAAUAUAAUUUAAUAAUGGAUGGGUGUUUGGUUUUGAUGAAAAGUAAAUUAAACUUAAUUAAAUUACAGAAUUGAUAAAAACAUAAAAUUAAGGUAAAAUGAUAAAUGACGGACUAGCUAGAGGGUUCUUCUCCACACAUGUUAUACUUGCAUACAAAAUGAUUUCCAGUUGUUCAUUUAAUAAAUUGUGAAUCUCAAUACUCCAGAUUAACCGUGAACAGCACUUUUUUAAUCUUCAAGUUUUCCUUAAGUUAUUGAAUUGGACGGGAAAACGCAUACAACAAUUCAAAACAUUCUUCAAAAGUCCCCUACGUGAAAAGCACAAUAGAGAUACAAUCAAAGAUCAUUAAACUUUGUGAAAACUAUAAGCAUUGACGAGGCAUUCGUAACUAUGAAAAGCAUGAUACUCUUGCCAAGAAUUUACUUAACGUGAUUGUGACUAGCAACCUUUACUACUUGUGAAAAUAAGUUCAUAACGAUUAGGUGAAAUUCACUUAUAUUCUAGCAUCAAAUUCAUGCAUGUAAAUUAAGCGUGCACUCUCAACCAACAUACACAAAUCAGUUUUUAUACGAACGGAUAAGUAAAUUGAAUUCACAACUUAUAACUCACAACUGAAGAUAAUCAAUUCAUAUUACAAAUAUAUUCAUGGUUUCGAAUUAACCUCUAACCAACAUAAAUUUAAUUACACAUUAUUAAAAACAGAAAUAAAAUAUGAGUUUGGAAGGAUUUAACCGAAAGAGAAGGGUGCUUGCUGCUUCUGUCUGUCUUCCUCCCCGAGGCUCACUGUCUUUCCCGCUCACCUCUGCCCUCACUUCUCGUCCCCGCAGUCCCGUGCUCCUUGCGCCACGUGCUGCAAGGCAGCUUCUCUCUCUCUCGCACCAGCUGCCAAAUGGCAGCUCUCAUCUUUCUUUUUUAUAUAUUUUCUUUUUCUCCUUCUGCCGCAAGGCAGCUGUGCUGCCAGCCUUCUGUCCUCCCUUUAUUUUCUGCAGCUGUCCUCUCCUUGUUCUGCCAGUCAAGCUGCCAAAGGCAGCUUGUGACCUCACCUCAUGCUCAAGCUGCCCCGUUUCUUUUUUUAUCUUUCCUGCACGCUGCCUUCUGUUUCAUUCUUUCCCCUUUCUUCUAAUCCGUCCUCCUUGGAUCCUUUUAGCUGUCUCUCACUCAUCUCUCCACCGCUGCCCAAAAGCAGCUUUCUCCUUUAUUCUUCUUUUUUUUUAUUUCUGGCCUCACCUCCCCGUAGCUAAGUUGUCCUCCUCUUAUUUUCUGUUAUGCCACAAAACAUGAAUCAUGAUGAUGUUUCAAACAUCAUCAUGAUUUAUUAUUAUUAUUUCUUUUAUUAAUUUUAUGUAAAAGUUGAUUUACACAGACAGGUUUAACGAAUUUAUUACAUAAAAUUUCACUUGUUCUAUUUUUAUUUUCUUUGCAUAACAAAUCCUAUAAACACAAAAAUAACGUAAAUAGCUCAAAAAUAUAAGGAACUAACUAAGAAAAGACGAGUGAAUUCGAAGUAAAAAUA